Long non-coding RNA from Scatophagus argus, 655 nucleotides. RefSeq lists it as uncharacterized. Lineage: Eukaryota; Metazoa; Chordata; Actinopteri; Scatophagidae. The transcript has 4 exons. The record is from RefSeq and is a predicted model, not a curated record.
GGUGUUCCCAGUCACCUGUGUCAAAGUGUUUUACAUUGUCUUACGUUCCAUGCCAGGAUUUAUAUAUUUUGUUUUUUCAUGCCAGGAAUUUUUAUUGAAUUGUCUUGCCAUGCCACGACUCAAGCCAAAGUUUUUGGUUGAUCCCUUGCCACACAAUCCAUGACUCAUGAACAUACUUUGAUGAUGACUUCCUCCACGGUCACAGAGCCACUCAGCGGUUGGUUGGGGCGAGUUUUGGUUUCCAAGGCCACCGAGCAGGGUCUCAACACCUAUUGGACAGAGUCAGACUGAUGAGUAGGGAACUGACUGAAGAAGGGUGACUUGCAGUGGUGAUGGCCUCGGACUCUUUGUUCCGGAUGAAGGGGCAGGCGAGGACUUUGAGCUCUCUCAGGUUGGCUCUUAUGUUCUGGGUACCAUCCUGGUCUUCCCGCAGGGUGAAGUCACACUGAAAUGAAGCCACAAGCGCAGGAGCAUCAGACUUCAUCAGGCUGGCCACGAACAUCACCUCUGGGUCCACCACCACUGCUCGAAGACAAGUCCUAACCGUCGAGGCUGCAGAGAGAAGAUGAGGUGGUUUUAUCAAUCGUUUGGAUUUGACUGCGGUUUUUAUUCCUGUUUUCACCUUGUCUGAAUUAUUUCAAUAAAUACAAAGAAA